This 254-nucleotide ribosomal RNA is filed under the name uncultured bacterium. RNAcentral describes it as "partial 16S ribosomal RNA". It matches the Rfam family "Bacterial small subunit ribosomal RNA", at positions 524 to 776 of the family's 1533-position model. The record is from RNAcentral.
AACGUAGGAGACAAACGUUAUCCGGAGUUACUGGGCGUAAAGGGCGUGUAGGCGGUCUGUUAAGUCUGGCGUGAAAGCUCUCGGCUAAACCGGGAGAGGUCGUUGGAUACUGGCACGACUAGAGGAUGGUAGAGGCGUGUGGAAUUCCGGGUGUAGUGGUGAAAUGCGUAGAGAUCCGGAGGAACACCAGUGGCGAAGGCGACACGCUGGGCCAUACCUGACGCUAAAGCGCGACAGCAUGGGGAGCAAACGGG